RNAcentral lists this unclassified non-coding RNA (395 nucleotides) under soil metagenome. RNAcentral's name for it is "partial contains 5.8S ribosomal RNA, internal transcribed spacer 2, and large subunit ribosomal RNA". The stretch from base 1 to 121 matches the Rfam family "5.8S ribosomal RNA", at positions 35 to 154 of the family's 154-position model. The record is from RNAcentral.
GAUGAAGAACGCAGCGAACGUGCGAAACGUAAUGUGAAUUGCAGAAUUCAGUGAAUCAUCGAAUCUUUGAACGCAUCUUGCGCUCCUUGGUAUUCCGAGGAGCAUGCCUGUUUGAGUGUCGUGAAUACUCUCAACUUCAACCCUUUUUUCGGAAAGGGAGGAAGGUUGGACUUGGGUGUUUGUUGAAGUGCGAGCUUCGACUCAUCCUAAAUGCAUUAGCGAUCUGCCUCGAUCACACACAAUGUGAUAAUUAAAGCUAAAGCAUUGUUUAAUGAUCAAGUCGAGACUGCUUCUAACUGUCGCAAGACAAUAACGUGCAUACAUUUGUGCAUGUCAUUUGACCUCAAAUCAGGUAGGACUACCCGCUGAACUUAAGCAUAUCAAUAAGCGGAGGA